Molecule: ribosomal RNA, 395 nt
Filed under: uncultured bacterium
Lineage: Bacteria
Description: partial 16S ribosomal RNA
Rfam family: Bacterial small subunit ribosomal RNA
Source: RNAcentral
AUACGUAGGGUGCAAGCGUUAAUCGGAAUUACUGGGCGUAAAGCGUGCGCAGGCGGUUCGGAAAGAAGGAUGUGAAAUCCCAGGGCUCAACCUUGGAACUGCCUUCUUAACUACCGAACUAGAGUAUGUCAGAGGGGGGAAGAAUUCCGCGUGUAGCAGUGAAAUGCGUAGAUAUGCGGAGGAAUACCGAUGGCGAAGGCAGCCCCCUGGGAUAAUACUGACGCUCAUGCACGAAAGCGUGGGUAGCAAACAGGAUUAGAUACCCUGGUAGUCCACGCCCUAAACGAUGUCAACUAGCUGUUGGGCCCUUCGGGGCUUAGUAGCGUAGCUAACGCGUGAAGUUGACCGCCUGGGGAGUACGGUCGCAAGAUUAAAACUCAAAUGAAUUGACGGGG